Long non-coding RNA from Microcebus murinus (gray mouse lemur), 544 nucleotides. NCBI's taxonomy places the organism in Eukaryota, Metazoa, Chordata, Mammalia, Primates, Cheirogaleidae. The record is from Ensembl.
GAGAUGUCAUUCACAGGGACCUCAUGUGACUCUCUGGCAUGCACAUUGUGUAACGCUGGCCCUUAGCAGAGAGCCUACAGGAGCGAACGCACUUUGCUUUCUGUUCUGCAGCUGCUGUAUUGCAACUGAAGCACUCAUCAGUCAAGUCGACAGUAAGUGGCUUCUUGUAUAAAUACUUGCAGAAUUGUGACUUUGCAAGGGUCUCUGAAAAGCAUUCUGUUCCUCAGAAGUUCUUUGAAGUUUCCUUUUGGCUCCAUCAACUGUGUACAGAUAGGUCCGGAGAUGGAAAUUGUUCUGUGCGAAUUAGCUUCACCAGCACAAAGUUAGGAUGAAAGAUAAUGCUCAAAAUCCACUGCUGCAGCAGCCCCCAGAGGGCUCAUCAUCAGGGGUUUGGAAGGCAAGAGUGGCAGAAUCUUUAUGUUAUCAAGCAUCUACAAUGCACCAGUUUUAUACAGCAAUACAAAUUUUUGUAUCCUUGUGGAGUAAGCCUCAGGGACUUGGGUUCUCUUCUUGCUUUGCUAGUAAUUGGUUGAGAGUGGACUAG